This 2448-nucleotide long non-coding RNA is filed under the name Podarcis lilfordi (Lilford's wall lizard). Lineage: Eukaryota; Metazoa; Chordata; Lepidosauria; Squamata; Lacertidae. The record is from RNAcentral.
GGUUCUAUACAUACACUGUAUAUACAUUGUAAUGAAAUGAUUAUGGGCUUCUUUAUAUUCCUCUAUUUACCUAACAAAAGGUCUGAUGGAGGCUUUUUAGACCUCCUUUGCAUAGAUCCAUCAAAUGAUGACAUACCUAGAAGCAGGAUGAAAUCAGACAAUGUCUCAGCAGGUUAAGGUAAUAUCUACUGUUUUGUCAGAAAGAUCUGAUAGGUAUGUAGCCUUUUGACUAAAUAGAAACCUUAUGAGUUAAAGCUAAUCCCCAAUUCAUGCAAACCCUUUGGAAGAAUUAAAGCUUAUGAGGGGGUCUUAAAGCUCCAAAACUGAAAUGUAAAAAGAACUUACUCUGUUGAAUUCCCAACAAGUUAUUUUAUAUACUCAUUUUAACCGCAUGAACACCUAUUUAUUUAUUCAUAAAAAUUGUAUAUUGCAAUUUUACAAAACAAAUAGCAAAACAGUCUACAAUGUUUUUCACUGAGCACACUGCACUCAAGCAUAGGCAUGUUUACACAAAAUAAGUCCUUUGCACAAGUAAAAAUCAAGGAAGGACAUUUGUAUGUUGCCCAGCUAAAUCUUCCAAAACAAAGGAGAAAAGUACCAUAAGUGGGGGGGGGGGGGAGGAAAUUACACAAACUCUCUAAACAAUGAAAAUUGUACAAAAUGUUAUUUAAAAGUAGACAAAACAAGACUGCAUGCAAGAUGAAUAAUAUACAUAAAUAACUGGGAUGAGAUCUCCUUGACUACAUCCUGUUUCAUGCUUCAGAAAAACAAAAUGGCAUAGCCUCAUUUGAUUUUUCAAAACUGUGUUGAUCUAUGUUCAUUUUAAAUAGUGUAAUACAAGAAAAUACCCAUUUGAAUGCCCAGGGUAUCUCCUCAUAGUAGGAAAGGAUUUGAGGUGUCUGGAGAAAUAGUUGUAAUUGCUAUACCACAGUGGUUAAGACUCAUAUUUUAAUAUCUGUUCAUUCUUCAUGCAGUGUUACCUAGUUAUAAUUCACUUUUUUAUGCCCAGAGAACUCUUUUCACUGGGCACCUUGUAAAAUAAUGAACAAAUGAAUGAAUGAAGGCUGUAAUGGUAUGCAUGUUUACCCAGCUGAAUUCCGUGGGACUUACUUCUGAAAAGACAUCCAUAUGAUUACACUGUAAAUUACUUUAUACCAAAUUAAGAGUCAUUCUGUUUAGGAUUUCAGUCUAUAUUCUUACCUUGUUUCUACAUGCUGUGUAUUUUUUGUUCUCUCUGAGCAGAGCUGGGCUUGCACAGAGGAAUUAUAGGCAGCACACUCUGAGAACCAGAUUUAUUAAUGGAGUUGUAGGUCAUAGCAGGGGCUAGGUCUCAGGAGACAUUUCUCAAGGAAUAAAUGAAGAUCAGUCAUCCAGUUAACAGAAUGACUUAUAUCCCAGUACUAAGCACAUUUACACAGAAGUAGUUUUCAUUUAUCUCAAUGAGUGUGCACCCUAAAACAGAAACGAGCUUACCAAUACCAGGAUAUCUGUUCUGUCUAUGACUGUUUCCUUUUCUUUGGUUCUUUGCCCCACUAUAAGUGUUACCGGUAAUACAAUCAUCUCAGCACGGCUAAUUAAAUGAUCACCCAUCUGCUACUGUAAAAGGUGUGCCUAUCUAACAUACAUUUAAGUUCUCGUUAUUCAUUCUUAAAUCAUGUUUUCUUUUGUUUUUAGAAGCAUCAUAAACCAUGUCAUUCAAGAAGGGAACUAACAAAAAGAAGAGAGAGAGAGAGAGAGAGAGAGAGAGAGAGAGAGAAGGGAAAAGGGCGAAAGAACAAUGGGAGAAAAUAGGGCAGUAGUACACUUUCCCGGUAGUGAUGUAUGGAAGUGAGAGCUGGACCAUAAAGAAGGCUGAUCGCUGAAGAAUUGAUGCUUUUGAAUUAUGGCGCUGGAGGAGACUCUUGAGAGUCCCAUGGACUGCAAGUAGAUCAAACCUAUCCAUUCUUAAGGAAAUCAGCCCUGAGUACUCACUGGAAGGACAGAUCCUGAAGCUGAGGCUCCAAUACUUUGGCCACCUCAUGAGAAGAGAAGACUCCCUGGAAUAGACCCUGAUGUUGGGAAAGAUGGAGGGCACAAGGAGAAGGGGACGACAGAGGACGAGAUGGCUGGACAGUGUUCUCGAAGCUACGAAGAUGAGUUUGACCAAGCUGCAGGAGGCCAUGAAAGACAGGAGUGCCUGGCGUGCUCUGGUCCAUGGGGACACGAAGAGUCGGACAUGACUAAAUGACUAAACAACAACAGUACACUUGAAGUGCAUUCCCAGACAUAUUUCUUCUAGUCCAACCCCCGGCAAUGCAGGAAUCUCCCAACCUCUACUUAAAAACCUCCAAAGAAGGAGAGUCCACAACCUUCCUGAGGGGAGACUGUUCCACUGUCGAACAGCUCCUACUGUCAGAAAGUUUUUCCUGAUGUUUAGUCAGAAUCUCCUUUCUUGUACAGUAACUUGAA